GUGGUGGCUCAGUGGUAGAGCGCUCGCUUAGCAUGCAUGAGGCACUGGGUUCGAUCCUCAGCACCACA
Molecule: transfer RNA, 68 nt
Filed under: Marmota marmota marmota (Alpine marmot)
Lineage: Eukaryota; Metazoa; Chordata; Mammalia; Rodentia; Sciuridae
Also listed under: 1 other name
Rfam family: tRNA
About the family: Transfer RNA (tRNA) molecules are approximately 80 nucleotides in length. Their secondary structure includes four short double-helical elements and three loops (D, anti-codon, and T loops). Further hydrogen bonds mediate the characteristic L-shaped molecular structure. tRNAs have two regions of fundamental functional importance: the anti-codon, which is responsible for specific mRNA codon recognition, and the 3' end, to which the tRNAs corresponding amino acid is attached (by aminoacyl-tRNA synthetases). tRNAs cope with the degeneracy of the genetic code in two manners: having more than one tRNA (with a specific anti-codon) for a particular amino acid; and 'wobble' base-pairing, i.e. permitting non-standard base-pairing at the 3rd anti-codon position.
Source: Rfam by way of RNAcentral